UUUUUCCCCCAGCGGUCGCUGAGGGAAAAAGAAUGGCUAUCUUGUUCAUUAACGACACCUGCUGAAUGAAGGAAGCAGGAAGAUGUGAUGAAAAGUUGACAACAUUGCACUCGCCACUCGUCCAUCCCUAUCCAUUUUCUACCGCUUGUCCCGUUCGGGGUUGCGUUGGGUGCUGGAGCAUAUCUCAGCUACAUUCGGGCGGAAGGCGGCGUACACCCUGGACAAAUCGCUACCUCAUGGCAGGGCCUUGCCAGUCGUCAUCAUGCCUAUGGUGCACACGGCCAGGAAGCACAAACAUCCACUUUUAAGGCGGCGAUCCGGGACUUCAAAGAUGACCUUCCCCAGCCCGGACAGGACGGCCAUCGAGACGACAAGUACGCCACCUCCAGGCGACCGUUUUGAUGAGGGGGCGAAGCAGCAGCAGCAGCAGCAGAAGAUGCUACAGAGUUUGGAGCUCAUGUGAUGAAUCCAAAAGAAGAGACAGAGGUGAUGGACUUGCACACACUCCCGUCAUUAUUUUUGAGUGGAAGCAUCCGACGGUCGGGGGCGGCCGGUGGGAGGAGGCAAGAGAGUCAGCAGCUGCGUCUUUGACAGGUGCAGGAGGAACGACGUAAGCUCUCCGCUCAUGUCUACGGAGACAUCAUUGGAUUAUUCGUCGUCCAGCAGCAGCUGUCAAAAAACGCAACUGUGAGAUUGGCUCCUCGGCUUCUCUCUGAGACACUGCGUGUUCACCGCGGCCAUCCGACCUCGAGAGGGAUAGACGCGGGCGUGCUAAACAUGCUAACUAGCAUGGGGAUACGUCGGCGGCUACAUCCAGCGGCCUGUGAAGCAGCGGAGUCCAGUAGCAGCGGGGGCCGUCUACGGAGCAGACGCCAGCGGUGUGAUCGGAAACGCGGAUGUCGAGCGGGGCUAAAAACAAAGCAGAGGGCUAAUCCCCACAGAACACCACUUCCCUCCACCCUGAAGACGGAUUUAAAUAAAGGAUGCGAGACUACUGGUCUGGGUAAGGAGUCUGUUAAAUUAGAACAAGUUUUUUCUGCUUCGAGUGUUUCAGAGUUGGACAUGUGUUUUACUGAGGUGGCUAACUAUGAUGCGUGCAGUUUAUCAAAGCAACAAACAAACAAUCGGAAAAUCCCCGUUACUGAGGAGGCUAACCAUGAUGCGUGCAGUUUAUCAAAGCAACAAUCAAACAAUCGGAACAUUCC
Molecule: long non-coding RNA, 1205 nt
Organism: Nerophis ophidion (straightnose pipefish)
Lineage: Eukaryota; Metazoa; Chordata; Actinopteri; Syngnathiformes; Syngnathidae
Exons: 7
Source: RefSeq, a predicted model, not a curated record